UACGUAGGGUGCAAGCGUUAAUCGGAAUUACUGGGCGUAAAGCGUGCGCAGGCGGCUCGGAAAGUCGGGCGUGAAAUGCCGGGGCUCAACCCCGGGACUGCGUCCGAUACUUCCGAGCUGGAGGUAGGUAGGGGAGAUCGGAAUUCCUGGUGUAGCGGUGAAAUGCGCAGAUAUCAGGAGGAACACCGGUGGCGAAGGCGGAUCUCUGGGCCUUACCUGACGCUGAGGCGCGAAAGCUAGGGGAGCGAACAGG
RNAcentral lists this ribosomal RNA (253 nucleotides) under uncultured bacterium. RNAcentral describes it as "partial 16S ribosomal RNA". It matches the Rfam family "Bacterial small subunit ribosomal RNA", at positions 524 to 776 of the family's 1533-position model. The record is from RNAcentral.